RNAcentral lists this ribosomal RNA (253 nucleotides) under uncultured bacterium. RNAcentral describes it as "partial 16S ribosomal RNA". It matches the Rfam family "Bacterial small subunit ribosomal RNA", at positions 524 to 776 of the family's 1533-position model. The record is from RNAcentral.
UACGUAGGAGGCGAGCGUUGUCCGGAGUUACUGGGCGUAAAGGGUGCGUAGGCGGCUGCGCGCGUGGAGGGUGAGAUCUCUCGGCUUACCCGGGAGGGGGCUUUCCAGACGGCGUGGCUUGAGGGACGGAGAGGGGCGUGGAAUUCCGGGUGGAGCGGUGAAAUGCGUAGAGAUCCGGAGGAACACCGACGGCGUAGGCAGCGCCCUGGCCGUUUCCUGACGCUGAAGCACGAAAGCUGGGGGAGCAAACAGG